Molecule: long non-coding RNA, 468 nt
Filed under: Citrus sinensis (sweet orange)
Lineage: Eukaryota; Viridiplantae; Streptophyta; Magnoliopsida; Sapindales; Rutaceae
Description: long non-coding RNA (CSIN_LNC002062)
Source: RNAcentral
AGUGAAGUCAAUGAGAGGGCUAUUAAAUCUUGUUGCACUUGAAUUUUGAAUGGAUCUUCUUGGUGGUUGAAUGUUUUUAUUCUAGCUUAUGAGAUUCUAUGCUUUAAAAUCCUUGUCUCUCGAAUGUUGAUCGACUUAAAUUCUUGAGGUAUGCUUGCUUAAAAUUAUUUUUGGAUGAGUUGAGAUGAGAAUUGAGUGGAGAUUUGGGAUUAGUCUUGAGUUAUAUGCUUGAGGACAAACAUCAUCUUGGUGUGGGGGAAUUUGUUAGAGUGCAAUUUAUGCACUAGUUUUGCAUUGUUUACUUCCCUUAAUAUCGAUGUUUUGCACUUAAUAAUAGUGAUUUACUUGUGUUUUACUUUUGUAGGUGCAAUUCUAUUGAUUGGUGAUAAAAUUGAGAUACAAGAUGAUGUUUAAGGAUGAUUGUUCUCUUGGAGAAAUUAUGAGCGUUAGAAGAACUUUGUUGAUAAG